UAUGAACAGAACCAUGACAGCGAGGA
RNAcentral lists this non-coding RNA (26 nucleotides) under Cricetulus griseus (Chinese hamster). Lineage: Eukaryota; Metazoa; Chordata; Mammalia; Rodentia; Cricetidae. The record is from RNAcentral.